RNAcentral lists this ribosomal RNA (316 nucleotides) under uncultured Pseudomonas sp. RNAcentral's name for it is "bacterial SSU rRNA". It matches the Rfam family "Bacterial small subunit ribosomal RNA", at positions 1067 to 1382 of the family's 1533-position model. The record is from RNAcentral. Lineage: Bacteria; Pseudomonadati; Pseudomonadota; Gammaproteobacteria; Pseudomonadales; Pseudomonadaceae.
GUGAGAUGUUGGGUUAAGUCCGUAACGAGCGCAACCCUUGUCCUAGUUACCAGCACGUUAUGGUGGGCACUCUAAGGAGACUGCCGGUGACAAACCGGAGGGAGGUGGGGAUGACGUCAAGUCAUCAUGGCCCUUACGGCCUGGGCUACACACGUGCUACAAUGGUCGGUACAAAGGGUUGCCAAGCCGCGAGGUGGAGCUAAUCCCAUAAAACCGAAUCGUAGUCCGGAUCGCAGUCUGCAACUCGACUGCGUGAAGUCGGAAUCGCUAGUAAUCGUGAAUCAGAAUGUCACGGUGAAUACGUUCCCGGGCCCUU